GGUCUUGGCAUCCCGGAGACCCUUAGGAAACUAGGGGUGCUUCCAUCUGGAAGAAUCUGGAGACAGGUGCUGCAUGGCUGUCGUCAGCUCGUGUCGUGAGAUGUUGGGUUAAGUCCCGCAACGAGCGCAACCCUUGCCUUUAGUUGCCAGCAGUUCGGCUGGGCACUCUAAAGGGACUGCCGGUGUUAAACCGGAGGAAGGUGGGGAUGACGUCAAGUCCUCAUGGCCUUUAUGACCAGGGCUACACACGUACUACAAUGGCCGAUACAAAGGGCAGCGACACUGCGAGGUGAAGCCAAUCCCGUAAAAUCGGUCUCAGUCCGGAUUGGAGUCUGCAACUCGACUCCAUGAAGUUGGAAUCGCUAGUAAUCGUGGAUCAGCAUGCCACGGUGAAUACGUUCCCGGGCCUU
Molecule: ribosomal RNA, 410 nt
Filed under: uncultured Desulfobulbus sp.
Lineage: Bacteria; Pseudomonadati; Thermodesulfobacteriota; Desulfobulbia; Desulfobulbales; Desulfobulbaceae
Description: bacterial SSU rRNA
Rfam family: Bacterial small subunit ribosomal RNA
Source: RNAcentral